CACGUAGGGGCCAAGCGUUGUCCGGAUUUAUUGGGCGUAAAGAGCUCGUAGGCGGUUGGGUAAGUCGGGUGUGAAAACUCCAGGCUUAACUCCGAAACUGCAUUCGAUACUGGCGUGCUUGAGGACUGGAGAGGAGACUGGAAUUCAUGGUGUAGCAGUGAAAUGCGUAGAGAUCAUGAGGAAGACCAGUGGCGAAGGCGGGUCUCUGGACAGUUCCUGACGCUGAGGCACGAAGGUCAGGGGAGCAAACGGG
RNAcentral lists this ribosomal RNA (253 nucleotides) under uncultured bacterium. Its description in RNAcentral is "partial 16S ribosomal RNA". It matches the Rfam family "Bacterial small subunit ribosomal RNA", at positions 524 to 776 of the family's 1533-position model. The record is from RNAcentral.